This 253-nucleotide ribosomal RNA is filed under the name uncultured bacterium. Its description in RNAcentral is "partial 16S ribosomal RNA". It matches the Rfam family "Bacterial small subunit ribosomal RNA", at positions 524 to 776 of the family's 1533-position model. The record is from RNAcentral.
UACAGAGGUCCCAAGCGUUGUUCGGAUUCAUUGGGCGUAAAGGGUGCGUAGGUGGCAUGGUAAGUCGGGUGUGAAAUCCCGGGGCUCAACCCCGGAACUGCACUCGAUACUGCCGUGCUCGAGUACUGGAGAGGAGACUGGAAUUUACGGUGUAGCAGUGAAAUGCGUAGAUAUCGUAAGGAAGACCAGUGGCGAAGGCGGGUCUCUGGACAGUUCCUGACGCUGAGGCACGAAGGUCAGGGGAGCAAACGGG